AGAGUUAAAUAGCACGUGAAAUUGUUGAAAGGGAAACGAUUGAAGCCAGUCGUACUGACGGGUAAUCAACCUUUCGGGAGCGAUUCUGUGGGUUAUGUUGAGCCUCACGGCCCUCAUGGUCCGCAUAUUUGUCCCCUUUGGGUGUACUUACCUGGUAGUAGGUUAACAUCAAUUUCGGUCGUCAUAAAAUGACGGGAGGAAUGUAGCUUCGACCUCGGUUGAAGUGUUAUAGCCUCUGGUAGAUGUGAUGAUCGGGAUUGAGGAUUGCAACGGAUACCCUUUGGGCUACCCGUCUGAUCUCUGAUGGUUGCUCUGGUGCCGAAAGCGUGCUUACGGUCAUCAAAGUUUGAUCGUCAAAAGGUUAGAACGGGUUAAAUUCGUUAAGGAUGUUGACGUAAUGGCUUUAAACGACC
Molecule: ribosomal RNA, 413 nt
Filed under: Sclerocystis sinuosa
Lineage: Eukaryota; Fungi; Glomeromycota; Glomeromycetes; Glomerales; Glomeraceae
Description: partial large subunit ribosomal RNA
Source: RNAcentral